CUACAUACUCGGCCCGCGACC
RNAcentral lists this small nuclear RNA (21 nucleotides) under Arabidopsis thaliana (thale cress). RNAcentral describes it as "snRNA_17760". Lineage: Eukaryota; Viridiplantae; Streptophyta; Magnoliopsida; Brassicales; Brassicaceae. The record is from RNAcentral.